Molecule: ribosomal RNA, 301 nt
Filed under: uncultured bacterium
Lineage: Bacteria
Description: partial 16S ribosomal RNA
Rfam family: Bacterial small subunit ribosomal RNA
Source: RNAcentral
CAGUCGCCGCGGGAAUACGAAGGGGGCUAGCGUUGUUCGGAAUUACUGGGCGUAAAGCGCACGUAGGCGGAUAUUUAAGUCAGGGGUGAAAUCCCGCAGCUCAACUGCGGAACUGCCUUUGAUACUGGGUAUCUUGAGUAUGGAAGAGGUUAGUGGAAUUGCGAGUGUAGAGGUGAAAUUCGUAGAUAUUCGCAGGAACACCAGUGGCGAAGGCGGCUAGCUGGUCCAUAACUGACGCUGAGGUGCGAAAGCGUGGGGAGCAAACAGGAUUAGAUACCCCAGUAGUCCCUGUCUCUUAUAC